RNAcentral lists this ribosomal RNA (479 nucleotides) under uncultured bacterium. Its description in RNAcentral is "bacterial SSU rRNA". It matches the Rfam family "Bacterial small subunit ribosomal RNA", at positions 35 to 507 of the family's 1533-position model. The record is from RNAcentral.
GCUGGCGGCAUGCCUUACACAUGCAAGUCGAACGGCAGCACGGGAGCAAUCCUGGUGGCGAGUGGCGGAACGGGUGAGUAAUAUAUCGGAACGUGCCAGUCGUGGGGGAUAACGUAGCGAAAGCUACGCUAAUACCGCAUACGAUCUAUGGGAUGAAAGCGGGGGGAUCGCAAGACCUCGCGCGAUUGGAGCGGCCGAUAUCAGAUUAGGUAGUUGGUGAGGUAAAGGCUCACCAAGCCGACGAUCUGUAGCUGGUCUGAGAGGACGACCAGCCACACUGGGACUGAGACACGGCCCAGACUCCUACGGGAGGCAGCAGUGGGGAAUUUUGGACAAUGGGCGCAAGCCUGAUCCAGCAAUGCCGCGUGCAGGAUGAAGGCCUUCGGGUUGUAAACUGCUUUUGUACGGAACGAAACGGUGAGCUCUAAUACAGUUUGCUAAUGACGGUACCGUAAGAAUAAGCACCGGCUAACUACGUG